Molecule: non-coding RNA, 64 nt
Filed under: Spodoptera frugiperda (fall armyworm)
Lineage: Eukaryota; Metazoa; Arthropoda; Insecta; Lepidoptera; Noctuidae
Source: RNAcentral
AGCAAUAUAAUCAUGACUGGUUUUGCGUCGGUUUUCAUACAAGCUAGUCAUUUUUAUAGGCUCC